RNAcentral lists this unclassified non-coding RNA (306 nucleotides) under plant metagenome. Its description in RNAcentral is "partial contains 5.8S ribosomal RNA, internal transcribed spacer 2, and large subunit ribosomal RNA". The stretch from base 1 to 106 matches the Rfam family "5.8S ribosomal RNA", at positions 50 to 154 of the family's 154-position model. The record is from RNAcentral.
GAAAUGCGAUAAGUAAUGCGAAUUGCAGAAUUUCCGUGAGUCAUCGAAUCUUUGAACGCACAUUGCGCCCAUUGGUAUUCCGAUGGGCAUGCCUGUUCGAGCGUCAUCUAAACCUUCAAGCCCUGCUUGGUGUUGGGUGCCUGUCCCGCCUCCGCGCGCGGACUCACCUCAAAUCCAUUGGCGGCCCCCGCGUCGGCCACGAGCGCAGCAGAAACGCGAACUCGUGAGCCCGUCCGGGCGGCUCCCAGAAGCUACACCCACCCAGUUUGACCUCGGAUCAGGUAGGGAUACCCGCUGAACUUAAGC